RNAcentral lists this ribosomal RNA (460 nucleotides) under uncultured bacterium. RNAcentral describes it as "partial 16S ribosomal RNA". It matches the Rfam family "Bacterial small subunit ribosomal RNA", at positions 338 to 795 of the family's 1533-position model. The record is from RNAcentral.
CCUACGGGUGGCAGCAGUGAGGAAUAUUGGUCAAUGGGAGGAAUCCUGAACCAGCCAUGCCGCGUGCAGGACGACGGCUCUACGGGUUGUAAACCUCUUUUGCCGGGGAGCAAGCCUGAGCACGUGUGCCCAGGCGGAGAGUACCCGGAGAAAAAGCAUCGGCUAACUCCGUGCUAGCAGCCGCGGUAAUACGGAGGAUGCGAGCGUUAUCCGGAUUUAUUGGGUUUAAAGGGUGCGCAGGCGGGCUGUUAAGCCGGCGGUAAAAAUUCAGGGCUCAACCCUGUCGAGCCGUCGGAACUGGCAGCCUUGAGUGGGCGAGAAGUAUGCGGAAUGCGUGGUGUAGCGGUGAAAUGCAUAGAUAUCACGCAGAACGCCGAUUGCGAAGGCAGCAUACCGGCGCCCGACUGACGCUGAGGCACGAAAGCGUGGGGAUCGAACAGGAUUAGAUACCCUAGUAGUC